UCGACGAAGAUAUUUAGAAUGAGAGCUUCGGCAGGAUUUUUAUCUAUCUUAGUGGCGGACGGGUGAGUAACGUGUGGGCAACCUGCCCUGUACUGGGGAAUAAUCAUUGGAAACGAUGACUAAUACCGCAUGUGGUCCUCGGAAGGCAUCUUCUGAGGAAGAAAGGAUUUAUUCGGUACAGGAUGGGCCCGCAUCUGAUUAGCUAGUUGGUGAGAUAACAGCCCACCAAGGCGACGAUCAGUAGCCGACCUGAGAGGGUGAUCGGCCACAUUGGGACUGAGACACGGCCCAAACUCCUACGGGAGGCAGCAGUGGGGAAUAUUGCACAAUGGGCGAAAGCCUGAUGCAGCAACGCCGCGUGAAGGAUGAAGGGUUUCGGCUCGUAAACUUCUAUCAAUAGGGAAGAAACAAAUGACGGUACCUAAAUAAGAAGCCCCGGCUAACUACGUGCCAGCAGCCGCGGUAAUACGUAGGGGGCAAGCGUUAUCCGGAAUUACUGGGUGUAAAGGGAGCGUAGGCGGCAUGGUAAGCCAGAUGUGAAAGCCUUGGGCUUAACCCGAGGAUUGCAUUUGGAACUAUCAAGCUAGAGUACAGGAGAGGAAAGCGGAAUUCCUAGUGUAGCGGUGAAAUGCGUAGAUAUUAGGAAGAACACCAGUGGCGAAGGCGGCUUUCUGGACUGAAACUGACGCUGAGGCUCGAAAGCGUGNGGAGCAAACAGGAUUAGAUANCCUGGUAGUCCACGCCGUAAACGAUGAGUGCUAGGUGUCGGGGAGGAAUCCUCGGUGC
RNAcentral lists this ribosomal RNA (786 nucleotides) under uncultured bacterium. RNAcentral describes it as "bacterial SSU rRNA". It matches the Rfam family "Bacterial small subunit ribosomal RNA", at positions 48 to 846 of the family's 1533-position model. The record is from RNAcentral.